RNAcentral lists this non-coding RNA (148 nucleotides) under Pan troglodytes (chimpanzee). Lineage: Eukaryota; Metazoa; Chordata; Mammalia; Primates; Hominidae. The record is from Rfam by way of RNAcentral.
GCUGGGCAUGGUGGCACAUGCCUGUAAUCCCAGCUACUCAGGAGGCUGAGGCAGGAGAAUUGCUUGAACCCGGGAUGUGGAGGUUGCAGUGAGCUGAGAUCGUGCCACUGCACUUCAGCUUGGGUGACAGAGCAAGACUCUGUCUCAA